RNAcentral lists this ribosomal RNA (495 nucleotides) under uncultured bacterium. Its description in RNAcentral is "partial 16S ribosomal RNA". It matches the Rfam family "Bacterial small subunit ribosomal RNA", at positions 28 to 507 of the family's 1533-position model. The record is from RNAcentral.
GACGAACGCUGGCGGCGUGCCUAAUACAUGCAAGUAGAACGCUGAAGGAGGAGCUUGCUUCUCUGGAUGAGUUUCGAACGGGUGAGGAACGCGUAGGUAACCUGCCUGGUAGCGGGGGAUAACGAUUGGAAACGAUAGCGAAUACCGCAUAAUAACAGUUGUUGCAUGACAACUGUUUGAAAGGUGCAAUUGCACCACUACCAUAUGAACCUGCGUUGUAUUAGCUAGUUGGUGGGGUAACGGCGCACCAAGGCGACGAUACAUAGCCGACCUGAGAGGGUGAUCGGCCACACUGGGACUGAGACACGGCCCAGACUCCUACGGGAGGCAGCAGUAGGGAAUCUUCGGCAAUGGACGGAAGUCUGACCGAGCAACGCCGCGUGAGUGAAGAAGGUUUUCGGAUCGUAAAGCUCUGUUGUACGAGAAGAACGAGUGUGAGAGUGGAAAGUUCACACUGUGACGGUAUCUUACCAGAAAGGGACGGCUAACUACGUG